RNAcentral lists this long non-coding RNA (258 nucleotides) under Brassica napus (rape). RNAcentral describes it as "long non-coding RNA (BNAP_LNC016433)". Lineage: Eukaryota; Viridiplantae; Streptophyta; Magnoliopsida; Brassicales; Brassicaceae. The record is from RNAcentral.
GGACUCGUUGCGGUAGUGUCUCCAGAUUGUCUUUGCAGGUUAUGGAGCGAGUUAUAGAUCGAUUAUUAGACGUCAUUCUGUUCCCGUCUUUCUGCUCACCGGCCAGGUAUGAGGUCCUCACCGAUCUUUGCACUUAGUCGGUUUCAGUGCUGCUAGAGUUUGUACAGCGGUUAUGGAGCGAUCUUCACAGGGUUUGUGUUAUAUACCCAUCUCCUUUAGCACUUGGCGCCUAUUUGAUUGAUGCGGUUAUAAGUUUCG